Molecule: ribosomal RNA, 398 nt
Filed under: uncultured Neocallimastigomycetes
Lineage: Eukaryota; Fungi; Neocallimastigomycota; Neocallimastigomycetes
Description: eukaryotic LSU rRNA
Rfam family: Eukaryotic large subunit ribosomal RNA
Source: RNAcentral
GUUCUACCUUGACGAAUUGUAGUUUAAAGAAGUGUUUUCUGUUAGAGGAGUAGCAUAAGUUCCUUGGAAUGGGACAUCAUAGAGGGUGAGAAUCCCGCAUUUGGUUAUUCUUUCUAGCUUUGUGAUACACUUUCAAAGAGUCGGAUUGUUUGGGAAUGCAGUCCAAAAUGGGUGGUAAAUUUCAUCUAAAGCUAAAUAUUGGCGAGAGACCGAUAGCGAACAAGUACCGUGAGGGAAAGAUGAAAAGAACUUUGAAAAGAGAGUUAAACAGUACGUGAAAUUGUCAAAAGGGAAGCGUUUGACACCAGUGUUGUUUUUCCGAAAAUCAAUUAAGAAGGGCUUGAUUUUGUGUUGUAUUGACCUUAUCAGCUUUCUUCACUCUUUUUCGAGCCUUUCUU